GCGUGCGGUCGCCGAUGCCGCGCGGCGGCGUGUUGACCGCGCGCUCGAAGGCUGCGUCGUCGUCGCGGUUCGACACCAGGCGCAGAUA
This 88-nucleotide transfer RNA is filed under the name Arenimonas maotaiensis. Its description in RNAcentral is "tRNA-Val". Lineage: Bacteria; Pseudomonadati; Pseudomonadota; Gammaproteobacteria; Lysobacterales; Lysobacteraceae. The record is from RNAcentral.